Molecule: ribosomal RNA, 253 nt
Filed under: uncultured bacterium
Lineage: Bacteria
Description: partial 16S ribosomal RNA
Rfam family: Bacterial small subunit ribosomal RNA
Source: RNAcentral
UACGUAGGGGGCAAGCGUUGUCCAGAUUUAUUGGGCGUAAAGAGCGUGUAGGCGGCCUGACAGGUCUGCUGUGAAAACUCGAGGCUCAACCUCGAGAUGUCGGCGGAAACCGUCUGGCUAGAGUCCGGAAGAGGAGAGUGGAAUUCCUGGUGUAGCGGUGAAAUGCGCAGAUAUCAGGAAGAACACCUAUGGCGAAGGCAGCUCUCUGGGACGGUACUGACGCUGAGACGCGAAAGCGUGGGGAGCGAACAGG